GAUGAAGAACGUAGCGAAAUGCGAUAAGUAAUGUGAAUUGCAGAAUUCAGUGAAUCAUCGAAUCUAUGAACGCACAUUGCGCCCCCCAGUAUUCUGGCGGGCAUGCCUGUUCGAGCGUCAUUUCAACCAUCAAGCCCUGCUUGUGUUGGGGUCCUGCGGCUGCCCGCAGGCCCUGAAAACCAGUGGCGGGCUCGCUAGUCACACCGAGCGCAGUAGCACAUCUCGCUCAGGGCGUGCGGCGGGCUCCAGCCGUUAAAGCACCCACCUUUCGCAAGGUUGACCUCGGAUCAGGUAGGAAUACCCGCUGAACUUAAGCAUAUCAAUAAGCGGAGGA
This 334-nucleotide unclassified non-coding RNA is filed under the name soil metagenome. RNAcentral's name for it is "partial contains 5.8S ribosomal RNA, internal transcribed spacer 2, and large subunit ribosomal RNA". The stretch from base 1 to 120 matches the Rfam family "5.8S ribosomal RNA", at positions 35 to 154 of the family's 154-position model. The record is from RNAcentral.